UUACACAAAUAUGAAGGCGGGCUGGAACCUCUCGGGGUUACAGCCUUGCUGAAUUAUUCACCCUUGUCUUUUGCGUACUUCUUGUUUCCUUGGUGGGUUCGCCCACCACUAGGACAAACAUAAACCUUUUGUAAUUGCAAUCAGCGUCAGUAACAAAUUAAUAAUUACAACUUUCAACAACGGAUCUCUUGGUUCUGGCAUCGAUGAAGAACGCAGCGAAAUGCGAUAAGUAGUGUGAAUUGCAGAAUUCAGUGAAUCAUCGAAUCUUUGAACGCACAUUGCGCCCUUUGGUAUUCCAAAGGGCAUGCCUGUUCGAGCGUCAUUUGUACCCUCAAGCUUUGCUUGGUGUUGGGCGUCUUGUCUCUAGCUUUGCUGGAGACUCGCCUUAAAGUAAUUGGCAGCCGGCCUACUGGUUUCGGAGCGCAGCACAAGUCGCACUCUCUAUCAGCAAAGGUCUAGCAUCCAUUAAGCCUUUUUUCAACUUUUGACCUCGGAUCAGGUAGGGAUACCCGCUGAACUUAAGCAUAUCAAUAAG
Molecule: ribosomal RNA, 535 nt
Filed under: Alternaria sp. FL-2015
Lineage: Eukaryota; Fungi; Ascomycota; Dothideomycetes; Pleosporales; Pleosporaceae
Description: eukaryotic LSU rRNA
Rfam family: 5.8S ribosomal RNA (bases 169-322)
Source: RNAcentral